GUGCCAGCCGCCGCGGUAAUACCGGCAGCCCGAGUGAUGGCCGAUCUUAUUGGGCCUAAAGCGUCCGUAGCUGGCUGCGCAAGUCCGUCGGGAAAUCCACCUGCCCAACAGGUGGGCGUCCGGCGGAAACUGCACAGCUUGGGACCGGAAGGCUCGAAGGGUACGUUCGGGGUAGGAGUGAAAUCCCGUAAUCCCGGACGGACUACCGAUGGCGAAAGCACUCUGAGAAGACGGCUUCGACAGUGAGGGACGAAAGCUCGGGUCUCAAACCGGAUUAGAUACCCUUGUAGUC
RNAcentral lists this ribosomal RNA (292 nucleotides) under uncultured bacterium. Its description in RNAcentral is "partial 16S ribosomal RNA". It matches the Rfam family "Archaeal small subunit ribosomal RNA", at positions 455 to 746 of the family's 1478-position model. The record is from RNAcentral.